This 257-nucleotide ribosomal RNA is filed under the name uncultured bacterium. Its description in RNAcentral is "partial 16S ribosomal RNA". It matches the Rfam family "Bacterial small subunit ribosomal RNA", at positions 524 to 776 of the family's 1533-position model. The record is from RNAcentral.
UACAGAGACCUCAAGCGUUAUCCGGAAUCAUUGGGCGUAAAGCGUGCCGAUAGGUGGUUGAAAUAGUCUUGGGUAAAAGCCAGAAGCUCAACUUCUGCGUUUGCUUAAGAUACUUUUCGACUAGAGGGGCAAAGAGGUGCUUGGAACGAAUGGUGUAGUAGUGAAAUGCGUUGAUAUCAUUCGGAACACCGAAAGCGAAGGCAGAGCACUGGGUGCCACCUGACACUGCUAGGACGAAAGCGUGGGUAGCGAAUGGG